UUAUAUUGAUACAGCAAUUAAUUAUAUAUGACAGAAUAAUUGAAGAAGUUUUCCUUGUGUAUUCAUAGAGAACCUAACUCAUGAGCACAUUGUAUUGCAGUUUGGACAUAUUUAUAGGAUUCCUAAAAUAAGCUGACCAAGAAAAAGCACUUUUCUGAUAUGCCACAGAAAUGUAGUGAGUUGCCCGAAGUGUGAAUAACCUAUCUUGAAUAAUCAGAAUUCAAAAAAGAAGAAUUAAAAGUCAAAGUUUCAGUGCAAUCUCCCUGGUCUAUCAUUUAAAUCCAGUCCUUGAUGCCUUAGAGUCUUAACAAAUCUGUAUAAUUUUUUUUUUAAAGGAAAGAUUUAUUUUACACAGUGUCACUUUACCCUAUAUUAAAUAACUAAAGAUCUCUCUCAACUUGUGUAAUAGUAUUUUGUAUUUCAAAGUAAUUUUCUGACACAAUCUCUGAUAAGAAGUAUGUAGCCACU
RNAcentral lists this long non-coding RNA (468 nucleotides) under Pan troglodytes (chimpanzee). Its description in RNAcentral is "long non-coding RNA NONPTRT014742". Lineage: Eukaryota; Metazoa; Chordata; Mammalia; Primates; Hominidae. The record is from RNAcentral.